AUUGAACGCUAGCGGGAUGCUUUACACAUGCGAGUCGAACGGCAGCGCAAGGAAGCUUGCUUUCUUGGCGGCGAGUGGCGAACGGGUGAGUAACAUAUCGGAACGUGCCUAGUAGCGGGGGGAUAACUACGCGAAAGCGUGGCUAAUACCGCAUACGCCCUACGGGGGAAAGAGGGGGAGUCUUCGGACCUUUCACUAUUGGAGCGGCCGAUAUCGGAUUAGCUAGUUGGUGGGGUAAAGGCCU
This 244-nucleotide ribosomal RNA is filed under the name uncultured bacterium. RNAcentral's name for it is "partial 16S ribosomal RNA". It matches the Rfam family "Bacterial small subunit ribosomal RNA", at positions 30 to 266 of the family's 1533-position model. The record is from RNAcentral.